CGGAAAUUUUGCUAGGUAGUAAAAAUGCAAAAAAAGAAGAUUGCCUUCCUCCAUUCUAUCAUCAUAGAAGAGUAGAAAGGGAAAGUACCUGCUUACAGGCGGCAAGAAGCAAGAGCAGGAUGGUGCCUUGCUGGAUGCUUGGAAACUGAAGUGCUGGGAGAUGAAGUGAUUUUCAGCCAUGGUAAUGAAUCAACACUGCCUUCCCCAGCUCUGCCCUUGGUCUGCUAGCUGUUGACUUUGUCCAUUUCUUGGAAUCCAUUGCCUGCUUGUACACACAAUUACCCAGGCCCCAAAGAACAUUCCUAAGCUGAGUAAACUUGACCUGGAUUCUUUCAGAAAACAUUAGCUACCCUAUAUAACAUUUCAGCAGAAAUCUAGAUGUGCUGCCUAACCCCAGCCAACAUCCUAAAGUAUAUCUCCAAACUACACUAACAUUGUUAUUUCAGCAACGAGGAAAAACACAAGAGACUAUCCUUGAAGUCUAUACCAACAUGUGAAACUACCAAGCCUCACACAAAGCAAGCAAGUAUCAAAUGCUGGUUCCUUUUCCCUUUUUCUGGCGCAACAACUUUACAUACCAGAGAGGUAAUUUCCAGCCAACAGAUGUACCUUCCACCAUCCCGUUCAAUCCUACAUUGGUAUUAGAGCUAAAGUCAAUAAAAGUAACGAAGAGGUGGGGGCUGGAGAGAUAGCCCAGGGGUUAAGAGUGUGUAAUGCUCUUACAGAGGACCCAGG
Molecule: long non-coding RNA, 735 nt
Filed under: Cricetulus griseus (Chinese hamster)
Lineage: Eukaryota; Metazoa; Chordata; Mammalia; Rodentia; Cricetidae
Description: lncRNA (ENSCGRG00015033724.1)
Source: RNAcentral